This 301-nucleotide ribosomal RNA is filed under the name uncultured bacterium. RNAcentral's name for it is "partial 16S ribosomal RNA". It matches the Rfam family "Bacterial small subunit ribosomal RNA", at positions 509 to 807 of the family's 1533-position model. The record is from RNAcentral.
CAGCCGCCGCGGGAAUACGGAGGGUGCAAGCGUUAAUCGGAAUUACUGGGCGUAAAGCGCACGCAGGCGGUCUGACAAGUCAGAUGUGAAAUCUCCGGGCUUAACCUGGGAACUGCAUUUGAAACUGUCAGGCUGGAGUCUUGUAGAGGGGGGUGGAAUUCCAGGUGUAGCGGUGAAAUGCGUAGAGAUCUGGAGGAAUACCGAUGGCGAAGGCAGCCAUCUGGACUAAUACUGACGCUGAGGUACGAAAGCAUGGGGAGCAAACAGGAUUAGAUACCCCGGUAGUCCCUGUCUCUUAUAC